GACGAACGCUGGCGGCGUGCUUAACACAUGCAAGUCGAACGGAAAAGCCCUGCUUUUGUGGGGUGCUCGAGUGGCGAACGGGUGAGUAACACGUGAGUAACCUGCCCUUGACUUUGGGAUAACUUCAGGAAACUGGGGCUAAUACCGGAUAGGAGCUCCUGCUGCAUGGUGGGUGUUGGAAAGUUUCGGCGGUUGGGGAUGGACUCGCGGCUUAUCAGCUUGUUGGUGGGGUAGUGGCUUACCAAGGCUUUGACGGGUAGCCGGCCUGAGAGGGUGACCGGCCACAUUGGGACUGAGAUACGGCCCAGACUCCUACGGGAGGCAGCAGUGGGGAAUAUUGCACAAUGGGCGGAAGCCUGAUGCAGCAACGCCGCGUGCGGGAUGACGGCCUUCGGGUUGUAAACCGCUUUCGCCUGUGACGAAGCGUGAGUGACGGUAAUGGGUAAAGAAGCACCGGCUAACUACGUG
Molecule: ribosomal RNA, 468 nt
Filed under: uncultured bacterium
Lineage: Bacteria
Description: partial 16S ribosomal RNA
Rfam family: Bacterial small subunit ribosomal RNA
Source: RNAcentral